GAUGAACGCUAGCGGCAGGCUUAACACAUGCAAGUCGAGGGGCAGCACGAUGUAGCAAUACAUGGGUGGCGACCGGCGCACGGGUGCGUAACACGUAUGGAAUCUGCCCUUUACUGGAGGAUAGCCCGGAGAAACUCCGGAUUAAUACUCCAUAACAAGCGAGGUGGCAUCAUCUUGCUUUGAAAGCUCCGGCGGUAAAGGAUGACCAUGCGCACGAUUAGCUAGUUGGUGAGGUAACGGCUCACCAAGGCUACGAUCGUUAGGGGGCCUGAGAGGGUUAUCCCCCACACUGGUAC
This 296-nucleotide ribosomal RNA is filed under the name uncultured bacterium. Its description in RNAcentral is "partial 16S ribosomal RNA". It matches the Rfam family "Bacterial small subunit ribosomal RNA", at positions 28 to 319 of the family's 1533-position model. The record is from RNAcentral.